RNAcentral lists this ribosomal RNA (253 nucleotides) under uncultured Thermoactinomycetaceae bacterium. RNAcentral's name for it is "partial 16S ribosomal RNA". It matches the Rfam family "Bacterial small subunit ribosomal RNA", at positions 524 to 776 of the family's 1533-position model. Lineage: Bacteria; Bacillati; Bacillota; Bacilli; Caryophanales; Thermoactinomycetaceae. The record is from RNAcentral.
UACGUAGGGGGCAAGCGUUGUCCGGAAUUAUUGGGCGUAAAGCGCGCGCAGGCGGUCUCUUAAGUCUGAUGUGAAAGUCCACGGCUCAACCGUGGGAUUGCAUUGGAAACUGGGGGACUUGAGUGCAGAAGAGGAGAGUGGAAUUCCUGGUGUAGCGGUGAAAUGCGUAGAGAUCAGGAGGAACACCAAUGGCGAAGGCAGCUCUCUGGUCUGUAACUGACGCUGAGGCGCGAAAGCGUGGGUAGCAAACAGG